UUUUAGUACUCAAAAAUUUAAUUUAUUAUAAUUUUUAUCUUGUAUUUUCUGAAUUAUUAUAAUAAAGUCUCAUAAUUCAAUUUGAUAGGCUAAAUAUUGGCGAAUUAUUAGUGGACAAAUAAUAUAAUAUCUUAAUUAUAUAUUAUUGCAUCAUCAAUUACAAUAUUUUUAUAUUACUUCUAUAUUAGUAAUUUAUUAAUAUUCAGCCAAUCAGAUUAUAUUGUAAGAUUUGAUUAUACUAAUUUAAAACAAUUAAGUUAAAUAAAUUAUGGUUUGAAGACCAAAAUGUUAUGUAGCAUUAUAUUUGAGGAAUAAAAGUGUACUUUAUCCAUAUCUAACUGGGAAAGCGUCUAAUACAGCUUUUUCUUUGAGGCUGUGUUUCGUUAGAGAACUAAAUUCUAGAGAAUAAUUUUUGUUAUUCCCAAAAUCAGGGGAUAUUUCGGUACAAAAUAGAAGAAUUAUAAAUUUGUAUUUGGAUACAUUCGGGAAUAUUCUAAGGAUAUUCUUAAUAGCGUUUGGAUAAAAAGUCAAGAAUAAGGUCUAAAUAUAUUUUUUGGAAGGCUAAAUUAUAUAAAAUUUUCCUGUCAAAAUCCGAUUUUUCAUUUUUUCCCGCUAUCAUUUAAAAACCUACACUUUACCCCGUGUAAAAUGAAAAAAUGAUCACUUCGCCCCCCACCGUUAGUAAUCCGUUAGGGUUCCAUUUAUAAAAUAUUAUUAUAUUUUUUUAUACCAAAAAUACCCUCAGUCUUCUCUUCUGUAAAAAUGGUGAGUGGCAAAAUGGUUAUUUUAUCAUUACAGUUCACACCGUAACCCCUAUGAACAUUUUUCAUUUUACAAGGGGUAAAAUAUACGUUUUUAAAUUACAGGGGCGGAAAGUGAAAAAUCAAAUUUUGACAGGAGGUUUUUCUGUAAUUUAGCCUUUUAAAAAUAAAAUAAUUAAUUUAUAUUACUAUAUUUUAUAUAAAAUUAUUUAUAAAAUUAUUUCAUAUUGUAAUUUAUAAUAUAAUAUUUUAUGUAACCGUUUAAUUUAAAAUAGUAUAUUUAUUUUAUGUAAUAAUUUAUUAUAUAUAAAUUAUUCAUAAUAUAUGUAAUGAAUAAAGUAUAAUA
RNAcentral lists this long non-coding RNA (1107 nucleotides) under Ananas comosus (pineapple). Its description in RNAcentral is "long non-coding RNA (ACOM_LNC002297)". Lineage: Eukaryota; Viridiplantae; Streptophyta; Magnoliopsida; Poales; Bromeliaceae. The record is from RNAcentral.